This 370-nucleotide ribosomal RNA is filed under the name uncultured bacterium. RNAcentral describes it as "bacterial SSU rRNA". It matches the Rfam family "Bacterial small subunit ribosomal RNA", at positions 527 to 896 of the family's 1533-position model. The record is from RNAcentral.
GGAGGGUGCAAGCGUUAAUCGGAGUUACUGGGCGUAAAGCGCACGCAGGCGGUCUGUCAAGUCGGAUGUGAAAUCCCCGGGCUCAACCUGGGAACUGCAUUCGAAACUGGCAGGCUUGAGUCUUGUAGAGGGGGGUAGAAUUCCAGGUGUAGCGGUGAAAUGCGUAGAGAUCUGGAGGAAUACCGGUGGCGAAGGCGGCCCCCUGGACAAAGACUGACGCUCAGGUGCGAAAGCGUGGGGAGCAAACAGGAUUAGAUACCCUGGUAGUCCACGCUGUAAACGAUGUCGACUUGGAGGUUGUUCCCUUGAGGAGUGGCUUCCGGAGCUAACGCGUUAAGUCGACCGCCUGGGGAGUACGGCCGCAAGGUUA